AUGAACGCUGGCGGCGUGCCUAAUACCUGCAAGUCGCGCGAACAGACGAGGAGCUUGCUCCUCUGACGUUAGCGGCGGACGGGUGAGUAACACGUGGAUAACCUACCUAUAAGACUGGGAUAACUUCGGGAAACCGGAGCUAAUACCGGAUAAUAUAUUUAACCGCAUGGUUCCAUAGUUAAAGACGGUUUUGCUUUCACUUAUAGAUUGAUCCGCGCCGCAUUAGCUAGUUGGUAAGGUAACGGCUUACCAAGGCGACGAUGCGUAGCCGACCUGAGAGGGUGAUCGGCCACACUGGAACUGAGACACGGUCCAGACUCCUACGGGAGGCAGCAGUAGGGAAUCUUCCGCAAUGGGCGAAAGCCUGACGGAGCAACGCCGCGUGAGUGAUGAAGGUCUUCGGAUCGUAAAACUCUGUUAUUAGGGAAGAACAAAUGUGUAAGUAACUAUGCACGUCUUGACGGUACCUAAUCAGAAAGCCACGGCUAACUACGUG
Molecule: ribosomal RNA, 496 nt
Filed under: uncultured bacterium
Lineage: Bacteria
Description: partial 16S ribosomal RNA
Rfam family: Bacterial small subunit ribosomal RNA
Source: RNAcentral